RNAcentral lists this unclassified non-coding RNA (255 nucleotides) under Ascomycota sp. Its description in RNAcentral is "partial contains small subunit ribosomal RNA, internal transcribed spacer 1, and 5.8S ribosomal RNA". The stretch from base 1 to 47 matches the Rfam family "Eukaryotic small subunit ribosomal RNA", at positions 1785 to 1831 of the family's 1831-position model. Lineage: Eukaryota; Fungi; Ascomycota. The record is from RNAcentral.
AAAGUCGUAACAAGGUUUCCGUAGGUGAACCUGCGGAAGGAUCAUUAACCAUAUGAACGCAGGUGGGGGUCAACAGCUGUACUUGUACGUCUGCCCUGCCUGUCCUAAUAUCUACCCAUGUCUUUUGCGCACUCUUUGUUUCCUUGGUGGGUUCGCCCACCAAUAGGACAUUAUUAAAAAACCUUUUGUACUUGCAAUCAGCGUCAGAAAAAAACUUAAUAGUUACAACUUUCAACAACGGAUCUCUUGGUUCUG